GACGAACGCUGGCGGCGUGCUUAACACAUGCAAGUCGAACGGAAAGGCCCUUCGGGGUACUCGAGUGGCGAACGGGUGAGUAACACGUGGGUGAUCUGCCCUGCACUUUGGGAUAAGCCUGGGAAACUGGGUCUAAUACCGAGUAGGACCACGCGCUUCAUGGUGUGUGGUGGAAAGCUUUUGCGGUGUGGGAUGGGCCCGCGGCCUAUCAGCUUGUUGGUGGGGUAAUGGCCUACCAAGGCGACGACGGGUAGCCGGCCUGAGAGGGUGACCGGCCACACUGGGACUGAGAUACGGCCCAGACUCCUACGGGAGGCAGCAGUGGGGAAUAUUGCACAAUGGGCGCAAGCCUGAUGCAGCGACGCCGCGUGAGGGAUGACGGCCUUCGGGUUGUAAACCUCUUUCACCAGGGACGAAGCGUAAGUGACGGUACCUGGAGAAGAAGCACCGGCCAACUACGUG
This 462-nucleotide ribosomal RNA is filed under the name uncultured bacterium. RNAcentral describes it as "partial 16S ribosomal RNA". It matches the Rfam family "Bacterial small subunit ribosomal RNA", at positions 28 to 507 of the family's 1533-position model. The record is from RNAcentral.